GACGAAGGAUGCAAGCGUUAUCCGGAUUCAUUGGGUUUAAAGGGUGCGUAGGCGGAUCGGUAAGUCAGUGGUGAAAUCUCGCAGCUUAACUGCGAAACUGCCAUUGAUACUGCUGAUCUAGAGUACAGUUGCCGUUGGCGGAAUAUGACAUGUAGUGGUGAAAUACAUAGAUAUGUCAUAGAACACCGAUUGCGAAGGCAGCUAACGAAGCUGUAACUGACGCUGAGGCACGAAAGUGCGGGGAUCAAACAGG
Molecule: ribosomal RNA, 253 nt
Filed under: uncultured bacterium
Lineage: Bacteria
Description: partial 16S ribosomal RNA
Rfam family: Bacterial small subunit ribosomal RNA
Source: RNAcentral